ACCUCGGCAGCAGGUAUACUAUAAAAUUGGAAUGACACAGAGGAGAUUAGCAUGGCUCCCUUUGCAAGGAAGAUCCACAGAUUCAUGCAGCAUUCCAAAUUCUU
This 104-nucleotide small nuclear RNA is filed under the name Rhinopithecus bieti (black snub-nosed monkey). The record is from RNAcentral. Lineage: Eukaryota; Metazoa; Chordata; Mammalia; Primates; Cercopithecidae.